GCAGCGUUGCAGCUUCACCACUGCUGAGCUGGAGACAGCAGCAGCUGGCACCAGCGUGGACCCAGCUCCUGAUGAGACAGGAUCUUUCCCCUUGAAGGUGCCCACAGGCUAAUGCUCUGCAGCUGGGAAGGGCCUGGUGCUGGGGAGGGAGAUGGGAAACACCUGGGGAGCCUGGAGGAGGGGCUGGAGCCUACUCCUCACAGAUCUGGCAAGGUUGGAAGCCCAGAAGAGGGCACAUCACCCCAUCGUCACAAAAUGGUGGAAGUACAGGAGCUGUUAGCCCAGAAUGAACCAAAGGAAAUGGGAACACAGCAAAACCUUCAGUGAGUGCUUUUUCCUCAUCUGGAACCUGCUAAGGGAGGCAACUCGACCAACCACAACAAACAGUGCAAGUACAAUUCCAAACCUGGUCACCGAGCGGGUGAAGGGAAGUAGAGGAGCAGCUGAAAAGAGAAACUCUCCAAACAGACCAGAGUUUGAUUGGAUUAAAAAAAGUGUAUUGGACGUCCAAUACAAAAUAAUAAACAUGAAGUUAUUAAAAAAAGCCAUAGAGUAUACAGCAAAUACUACAGAAAAGCAAAAAAAAAUUGUACAGAAAGGUAGACGUCUACAGCAGUCCUUAAAAUUAUUCUACAUGAGAAUCAUAAAACAAUAUACAGGUUUGUUUCUUUCCCCAAAUCUCUCUGAGGGAAGCUGCCACUCAACAGCUUGACUAUGACACUACAAGGAUACACAAUGUCCAAAUUUAAAAUCACAGGAUAUGUAAGAAAACGUAGCAUUAAAAUGUGAAAAAGUGCAAUACAGAUUGUACACUGAAUCGAAUAAAUGUUUUCUUUUAGUUUAACCUUAAAAAACC
Numida meleagris (helmeted guineafowl) is the source of this 856-nucleotide long non-coding RNA. The record is from Ensembl. Lineage: Eukaryota; Metazoa; Chordata; Aves; Galliformes; Numididae.